AGCAGCCGCGGUAAUUCCAGCUCCAAUAGCGUAUAUUAAAGUUGUUGCAGUUAAAAAGCUCGUAGUUGAAUUUCGGGGUUAGUAGGUUGGUCAUGCCUCUGGUAUGUACUGGUCUCACUGAUUCCUCCUUCCUUAUGAACCGUAAUGCCAUUAAUUUGGUGUUGCGGGAAAUUUGGACUGUUACUUUGAAAAAUUAGAGUGUUUAAAGCAAGCUAACGCUUGAAUACAUUAGCAUGGAAUAAUGAAAUAGGACGUUCGAUCUUAUUUUGUUGGUUUCUAGGAUUGACGUAAUGAUUAAUAGGGAUAGUUGGGGGCAUUAGUAUUCAAUUGUCAGAGGUGAAAUUCUUGGAUUUAUUGAAGACUAACUACUGCGAAAGCAUUUGCCAAGGAUGUUUUCAUUAAUCAAGAACGAAAGUUAGGGGAUCGAAGACGAUCAGAUACCGUCGUAGUCUUAACCAUAAACUAUGCCGACUAGGGA
This 478-nucleotide ribosomal RNA is filed under the name uncultured Glomus. RNAcentral's name for it is "SSU rRNA". It matches the Rfam family "Eukaryotic small subunit ribosomal RNA", at positions 569 to 1052 of the family's 1831-position model. The record is from RNAcentral. Lineage: Eukaryota; Fungi; Glomeromycota; Glomeromycetes; Glomerales; Glomeraceae.